This 1200-nucleotide long non-coding RNA is filed under the name Equus caballus (horse). RNAcentral describes it as "lncRNA (ENSECAG00000037305.3)". The record is from RNAcentral. Lineage: Eukaryota; Metazoa; Chordata; Mammalia; Perissodactyla; Equidae.
CAGGCUCUGGGUUGCCGGGCUGGGCUGCUGUUCCGCUCUGCAACCACUGCUUAGGUCUCUCGGGAUCCUGGAUACAGUCCCUCCCUCAAGAGGAAGAUCAGUGAGCGCCUACAUUAGUCUCCGAUUCCCAGUUUGAAAUCCUGGGAAAGAACCGUGUCAGGCGGCUGCCUCUCUCGCUCCGCUGGACUCCACUCACCCCGGGAUGAUGAUGCUCGAAGCAGGCAUCAUUUAGACAAAGAUGACCAAUAGAGGAACUAGGAGCUGUGCAUCAGUCCUGUCAGGAAGAAGGAAGGAGGACAGAUGGGAGAGUGUCUUGGUGAGCCAAACCCUCGUCUCUCCAAGUAGAAGCUCUCCGUCUGCUUCCAGCCUCCCAUUUCCAGCUGCCCUCAGGAAAUUGCCACUGGAUGUCCCCAAGGCACCUCCAACGCCACGAGCCUGAAACAAAGCACAUCCUCUCCUCUGUGCCGAGACCCCCUUCCUGCUGAAGGCGCCCUUAUCCUCCCAGCCCGUGGAGCUCCAGGUCAGAAGCAGCUUUGAUGGCACCUCUUCCUUCCUUCCUGAUGUGCCAGGAGUCGCCAAGCCCACAAAGCUUCCUUCCCAGUCUCGCUGGGGUUCGUCUCCCGCAGCACCUUGGCCUGAGUUCCAGCCCUCCUCCCCUCUCCUCAGGACUCAGGCCCCUUUCCAGUGCGCCCGGCACUGGCUGCCAGAGACAUCUGGCCACUGCAGGACUCUUACCACAUACCCGCCCAACAAGCUGCGGUGAUUCUCUUCGCCUACUGCUGCAAGUCCAGGGGCCCCGUAAAGCAGCCCCUCUCUGACUUCCUUUCCUGUCAGAUCUGUCUUCUCACCCAUCAUUCAGUUUCCUGUGCUCCCUCUGGCUAGAAUGCCCUCCCCCUUCGUGUAUCCAGCCGUAACUACCCAUGAGUCAAGACCUGGAAAGGUAAAUUCCAUUGUAUGCUGUUUUCCCACUCUGCUUAAUAAAUAUAACAGCCCGGAGCUCUCUAAUGAGAACUCUGAGAUUAUUUGCAUGGUCUAUGUGAAAGAGAGCCAUGAUUGAUUGGUGAUGUCUCCCAUGUCAUGGGGUUGAUGUCGUCAUGGGUGUAGGAGGGAGAAAUAGUUGACUAGUGAUGUCUGCCAUGGGUAAAGGAGGGAGCCAUGGGUAAAGGAGGGAGACACAGAAGUAAGUUGCUUUGUCUUGAG